CGCACCUUGCGCUCCUUGGUAUUCCGAGGAGCAUGCCUGUUUGAGUGUCAUUAAAUUCUCAACCUCUCUAGUUUGCUAGCAGAUGGCUUGGAUGUGGGGGUUUUUUUGCAGGCUUUCACAAGUCAGCUCCCCUGAAAUGUAUUAGCCGGUACCUUCUAACCGUCUAUUGGUGUGAUAAUUAUCUACGCCGUGGACAUUGAAGCUGUACUGCUUAUAAUCGUCUUGCAUUAGACAAUUUAUGACAUUUUGACCUCAAAUCAGGUAGGAUUACCCGCUGAACUUAA
RNAcentral lists this unclassified non-coding RNA (284 nucleotides) under Deconica citrispora. RNAcentral's name for it is "partial contains 5.8S ribosomal RNA, internal transcribed spacer 2, and large subunit ribosomal RNA". Lineage: Eukaryota; Fungi; Basidiomycota; Agaricomycetes; Agaricales; Kuehneromycetaceae. The record is from RNAcentral.